UGAGGAAUAUUGGUCAAUGGCCGAGAGGCUGAACCAGCCAAGUCGCGUGAGGGAUGACGGCCCUACGGGUUGUAAACCUCUUUUGUCGGGGAGCAAGACCCGCCACGUGUGGCGGAGCGAGAGUACCCGAAGAAAAAGCAUCGGCUAACUCCGUGCCAGCAGCCGCGGUAAUACGGAGGAUGCGAGCGUUAUCCGGAUUUAUUGGGUUUAAAGGGUGCGCAGGCGGACCAUCAAGUCAGCGGUAAAAUCGUGGGGCCCAACCCCAUCCCGCCGUUGAAACUGGCGGUCUUGAGUGAGCGAGAA
Molecule: ribosomal RNA, 303 nt
Filed under: uncultured bacterium
Lineage: Bacteria
Description: bacterial SSU rRNA
Rfam family: Bacterial small subunit ribosomal RNA
Source: RNAcentral